GCUCCCAUGGCGUAGUGGUCACUGCGCUCGCCUUGCACGCGGGAGACCCGGGUUCGAUUCCCGGCGGUGCCA
This 72-nucleotide transfer RNA is filed under the name Diaphorina citri (Asian citrus psyllid). It matches the Rfam family "tRNA". From Rfam's summary of the family: Transfer RNA (tRNA) molecules are approximately 80 nucleotides in length. Lineage: Eukaryota; Metazoa; Arthropoda; Insecta; Hemiptera; Psyllidae. The record is from Rfam by way of RNAcentral.